This 448-nucleotide unclassified non-coding RNA is filed under the name Hevea brasiliensis (rubber tree). The record is from RNAcentral. Lineage: Eukaryota; Viridiplantae; Streptophyta; Magnoliopsida; Malpighiales; Euphorbiaceae.
AUGUGUAAUGCUUCUAGGUCAUAGAGGUUGCUAACACAAUAAUGAAUAAAAUUAAAAAUGACCACAUCUAUCAGAGAGUGCAUGUGCCACACAUUGGGGAUAAAAUGAAAGAGAGUUAACUAAGAAUAUGAAAGUGUGAUGAGUUCAGUGUCAUUCAGGUGAGAGGCGACAAUAAAGCAACGGGGUACUUUAUGGCCUUAGCCAAAAGGUGAGGUGAGGCGAGUGCUUUUUUGAAGCGAGGCGCUAUAUAUAUAUAUAGCUAAAAUCACCGCCCUAACAAUUCUACCAAUAUUCAGUGGAUGUCUAGAUCCAUCACUCAGUGACCAAGCAAGCAUACAAAGAAAAUACUAAUUUAAAAAACAGAAAAAAAAUAAAGUGUAGAUGCUAUAUAGAUGGUUGUGAGUGAGAGAAGAAUAGUAUAGGAGGAGAAGGAGAGAAAAGAAGAAAA